Molecule: long non-coding RNA, 6657 nt
Filed under: Gallus gallus (chicken)
Lineage: Eukaryota; Metazoa; Chordata; Aves; Galliformes; Phasianidae
Description: lncRNA (ENSGALG00010028378.1)
Source: RNAcentral
UCCCCUGUUCACCAGUGCAGCAGCUGCAGCUCGUUGGGCACUAAUGAGGCUGGCUGCUGCCUUCUUCCCUCUGCAUCUGCUCUAAGGAAGGAUAUCCCAGCAUUUGGACCUGCUGUCCUUCAGAAAGAGAAAUGCAUCUUCAUAUAUCUUUCCUUGAGCAAGGGCUGGGAUUUGCUUUCCUUGGCUAUUGAUUUUAGAAGAGCUGGAGCUUGGAACCAUGAGCUGCUCUUAGGGCUGUAUGCUGAACUGAAGCAGAAGAGCUGACACCAUGUUCUUCUCCAGCUUGAAAGGCACUGUAUACAGAAUGAGUCUCAUGGGCACCUGAAACCCACCUGUUUGGCCUGGACAUACCUGCUGAUAUUGGCACUAUGGAUCUCACAUCAAGGUAAAUUAAUGGAAGUGUCUUACAACACCCUGGGAACCCAAACUGCAGCCCAUCUGUACUCAAAUCACAUCAGAGAUGUCUACCAGGGCAAUCCGUCAUCGAGCAUGAAGAGAGAUGUGGAUCAAAAAAGCGGGUGACUACAUUCAGCCAGAGGCAGCCUAAACCGUGAUAAGCAACUCCUCUGUAUGGACCAGACAAGGGGCUGCAGAUGCAGCUUUAAAGGUGAGAUCUGCAUACCACAAGAUGAGGACAAUAGGACCCAUCCAGACAGCUAAUGUGAUUCGCCAAUGUAAGCUGCAAGACUUCAGUUCUCGGUUGCAGUUGCAUUAUUACACCCUAUGCUCUGUAUGGGGAAACAAUUAAAACAGGUUUGGCAUACUAGAGAAAACACCAGAAUAUGACAUUGCUGCAUAACAUAGAAGACCUUCUCUUGCUUUUAUGUACAUAUUUGUUGCAAAGAAGAAUAAGAAAGUGUUUAAGGAAUAUAUUAACUCCCCUACAGUUCCUUAAAAUGAAAGUAUGGGCUAUGAAUUAUGUACACCUCUCUGUAAGGACCAAAGCCUGACAAAAAAAAGAAACAGAAGAUUUGCAUUCAGAGACGUCUCUAUUUUAAUAGAGAAGGAUUUUACCCAAAAGUACGUGCUACUGUGUGACAGACAGCUGCUUGACUGGCAAGAGGGAAGCAGAUGACUACCUGAUGAUGGCCAAUUUUCCUGCAGCUCAGCUGGAGGGCUUCUAGUCCAAGCCAAGUUGUCUUGGCUCCCUCUAUAGUCCAAAUAAAGAAAAAGGCACUUCUGGAGAGCAGCUGUUCUCAUACCACACGUUUAUCUUUGGUGCACUGAUGCCUCUUGAUCCCCAGCGUGCUGCAGAGGGGACCUUGAUGAGCAUCUUAGACAAGAACUCAAGUAUUUGACAGUCAACACCAGGUGAGAUGAACUAUAAUGACUGGUGCAACUGAUACACGUAGUUAAUGCCAAAGUACACCUGUGCCCAUUAAUUUAGUCACAUGCGUCAGGCUUCAAAAAUCCAGAUGAGCACUUGAGAUUUGAUUCAAGCUUUAUAACUAUCUGUUUCAUAUUUGAAUCAAAAGUGGCUAUAAAGUGAAAUGUGAGAUUCUCAUAUGUAUGUUACAGUGUUAUGAAAACAGCCAGCUGAGAGGGCAAAACGAGGCAGCGCCUUAUAACUUUUCCUCAUCACAGAGAGGCAUGAAGCAAGCCUGUAGUUUGCAUUUUGCCUACAGCCCUCUCCAAGAAAGAGGGUGGAUGGUUGUUUUCAAUUGUUCAGCUUUGGUGCAGGUCUUUGCAAACCAUAAUUUGAAAGUAAUUGUGGUAAUUACUGCAACUGAAAAAGUUAAAAUGUGCAAGUUCAAUUUUGCUCAGGUAAAGCUGUGCCAGUAAUGGCACCAUUCAUCAUUUUCUGUAAAAACAGUAACAGGUGUUAAUCUACACUCACUGAUGGGAGCAAUGUGAGUGCACAAUAAGCAAAGUGCCAAAAAAAAAAAAAAAAAAAAAACCCACCACCAAAGUACUGUCACCGAGAAAGAACUUCUAGUAAUGUCUUUGUAAUUGGACUCAACUGAAGAGUGAAAAAUUAUUUGACUUUUCAGUGAUGGAGAUUGCUAAUGAACCCAAUUUUUCUCUUCCACCUUGAUUAGCUUUCUGUAGGAAGAUCCAUUGUAGCUCUGCACAAUGAAGCUUGCAGGAAUAGACACCCAGCUGCUGUAAUUUUAUCAGCCCUCCCACUUACUGAAAAGUAAUCUUUUUUCUUUUUUUUUUUUUUUCUUCUUUGACAGGCUGUUGAACUAACUGUUACUAGGUUUUCAAACAUAAUGGAAAACAGUGGGAAGUAGAAUUUAAAUAGGACUUGAACAGCAAUUUUGCAAUUUUUCCAGCCUUAACAGAAACUUUAUAAGACUUCUAAAUGCCUCACACAUCCUGUCCUCCCAAGGUUCUGGAUGUUACUUGUGAGAUACCCUUGGACUAGGGUUGUGUCUUCUGCUCAUUGCUGUACAGAGCUAUCUUAUGGAGCAAGAGGAUAGCCAAAAUAUCCUGUGCUUUGUGUGUGAACUUACUAAAUGGCAUCCAAUUUAUCUACAGAGAACAUUUAAGCAAGCAGAAAAGUAUUUCCCAUUGUGUAUGCACAAUCAGACUGGUACACUGCACAGUUAGUUUCUGCUAUGAAUUCCAGAGAGUUCAAAAGGUAACAUUAGUUGCACCUAUGUGGUUUUGCUCAAGUAAAUGAGGACAUUUUCUCUGCACAGUGCCCACACUUUCGCUACUAGCAGCUACUUCUAGUUGUGCACAGCCAAGAGCCAUUUUCUUUCAAAAUAUGUUCCAUGAUCCCAAACUUUUCUGCGUGGACUUAUUUGGGAAAGAACAAAGCCAGCUGAUGCCCUUGCUCCAGUCGAUGGGGGUACAUACAACCCUGUCUGGAGGAGUGAAGUCAGGUGAGUGCAAUCAGGAUACAUGCAGUUGGAAACCUUCCUGCCUUUCCUCCCAUCAGGUCUUUGUCAUACUCUACUCUAAAUAAGAGCACAUGUUACUUAAGACAGUAAUGUGAACAUUUUGCAAGGCGAAUUGCUGCAGAUAUGUAAUGGCAGAAUGUGGAAGAGGAUAAGCAACAAAUGCUCUGCAUUGUCAGGCUCAUACCACAGAUUAUCUCCUAGAGAAUUACAUUACUCCACCUGGAUGCUAAUAAAUAUAUUCAAGUAAAUUCCACUAUAUUAGUAUGGCAUUUUUAGCUUAAAAAUGUAUUAAACUCAAUUCAUACAAAAGUAUUAGCAUUUCAAAACUAGACCUAUACAGAAAUAUUUUCCUUACCAAUUUCCUGAUCUGAGUCACUGCUUUUAAUUCAAGACAGCUGUUCCAUGACAGGACAGGACUCAACUGAGAUCCCAGUGAUGACUCCAUUGCCUUGGGUGUAGUAACGAAGACGUGGCCACUGCAGGGUUGUGGUCUGGUUUUUAAACAUAACAUGGCAAGUUAGUGAAACAUUAAAAUGCAAGAGAUCAUUAUAUUCAAGACUUUCUCUUCCCUGCUCCUUCUCCUAAAGGGGAAAUCAGACACACAGGAUUGUAGACUUCUGCCACCACUUGCCAUGGGUGGGUGCAGUUGGACACCAGCUUAAGGCAGAAAGGACAAAGCUGAGGAUGAGCUGAAAGUGCUUGCACCAGCCCCACGGCUCCAUGCUCCUCCAGUGUGUUUUUGAGUAGCAUCAUGCUUCUGAGAAUAUGUUCCUUAGAGGACUUGGUGAAAAAGAAUAAGAGCAUGAUAAGCAAGACCAAAUAAAUAUUACAUAAACUUAUUUUCAUAAGUAAAUCUCAAGGUACUUUACAAUGGAAGGUCCAUCUUUUUUCCUUUAUGCAACACGAGAAACUGAGGCACAGAGAAAGUACAUAAAUAAAUAUAAAUUAUAAAUUCUUCAGAUUUUGUCUUGAACAGAAAUCAGAAUUUACAAUUCAUUGGUUAUUCUGAAAUAAAAAAUAAAAUAUAAAAUAUUGAAAGGGAGAAAAGUAAACUGGAACUUUGUUGUCAACAUUAGACAGGAAGCUAGAAAAUGUUGUCACUUUAACCCAGGGAAUGUCCUUCGUCAUUGUAUAUUACAGUGUUAAAAAGGUAUAAUCAGUAGUACAGAUUAAAAGUCAAAUAACAGUAAUUAUAAUGAUGAAAUAUAUCUUUUAUUGAAAUAUGUCAUAUUAAAAAGAAAUAAAAUGAACAGUGUACAUUAUUCUCAAUUGACAAUUUUGUUUAUACAAUCAAAUUUCUGCAAAAUACUCCAACUAUGAAAACAAAGUUUUUUUUUUUAAUGGAAAGGGGUUUAGUUUAUCUUAAGACUUGAUGUGGUGACAUUAUGUUGGCUGUGUUUUAUGCUGUGGAUUUACUGUCAUACCCAGUGACGUCAGCACAGACCACGUCAUUAAGUUAGGGGUUCACCACUUCAACCAAGUGUUUAGCUUUCUGGGUUGAAGGUUUGGAGAAAUUUAUUUGUGGGAUAAAUGGAGAUUUAGGCUGUUGAAGCAUAAGUGUUGUUUAGAAAAUAUGUGCUAUUUACAUUGUGCACAAAACUAUAUGAGACACAGAUAUAAGAAUGUAUUACUAUGUAUAUAUCUAGUAUAAACACACCAUGAUUAAAUAUCAUUUGUUCUGUAAUUGUCAAUUGAGAAAAUAAAUUGUAAGACAAAAGCAUUGGUAAUGAUUGAACACAGACAGUUUAAUCAAGCAGCAACUUUUGAAGAAGUAAUUUUGUCCUAAAAGUCAAAAGUAAGUAAAGCCAUAAUUGAACUUAAACUGCUGAAGUUCAAAUUAAAGCACAUAUUCACCAUCAAUGACUGUGCCUAAAGACACAGGCAGUGAUACAGAGGCAGAAGUGAGAAGCACAGCUGGUUCAAGCACAGCUGGCACCUCCCUGGGAAAGUGCCAAUAAUCCCUCUGACACAUGCAAGGCUCCCAGUGCUGGAGAAAACCAAGAAUACAGGGCUAAAAUUUGGCAGCUACUUAUCAGCAUGUGAUUUAGUGACAUAAGAUAGCUAAGUACAUAAUUACCUAUAUAUAUAUUUUUUAAUUCUCAAAAUACUGCUGGUGCACAGGAGUUCUCAAUGGGAAUCAGGAAGAAAUCUGGGAGACUUUCCAAGUGCAGGAUUGGAAGGCUUACAUAGUCACAAUUAUGAUUUUAGAAAAACAGACCACAAAUAUGUCACGCAGACUGGAGAGUGUGAUGUAUAGAUAAACACAUACACACUGCAUUGAUUGUAUUUUGUAACAAAAGGGAUGAAGACCAGCAUGUGUGUCUUUGACAGGAUAGCUCAAACAAAAAUCACAUGUACAGCAAACAUUCCCCAUAAUUCUUGAAAUUAGGCAAAAGUGUGUUAAAACUCCAAGUUGCACAAGGACUUAAAAUGCUUGUAUGCAGUUUGGGAAAUGAUUGAAGGAAAAUAGAAAGUGUCUGUGACAAGAAAGCAAAAAGACAGCUUUGAGAUGAUGGUAACAUAUUUUUAGAGCAUAAGUAAGUUCUCUUAAAAUCAGUUCUCUCUAUGCUUGUUCAUUACUCCUAGUCAUAUUACUAGAAAUUCCUUCAACGUACCUGGGAGCACAAAUUAACAUAAUAUUAGCAAUGAAUCUACUGACAUAUUUCAAGUACUUGGACUACUGUGAACUGAGAGAUUGAGUCAAUUUUAAGAGAUCACUUAAAAUCAACUUCAGUACAUUGUUUCUCCUGGUGUGAAGUAAUGUGGUUAUGUGGUCUCACUCAACAAAGUCGUGCCUGCGUGGAGCAGCUGGUGUGCCUGAUCUUCACGUGUGGUCUCCCCUUGAUUUUGCUGGAUUCAGGAUCAUCUGCAGAGAGCACAUGUAUCUGGAUAAUGGAUUUGCCUCACUGAAAUUGCAGCCUUCAAGACAGACCAGCAGCUCAGCAGUGCACCUGGAUACUUUAGCAGGAAAUGAAGCUGUUUGGAAUACAAAGGAAAAAAAAAUCUGCAUGGGUCAUGUUUUUCAUAUGAAAAUAAUUAGAUAUUGUAGAUAUUCCUUCCCCUCUCUGGAUGAUUCUCACAGAUCAAUGAGUGGAGGCUGUCCUGAGUGGUCCAGGACAGUGGUCCAGGUUAAUAAGUACUUUGUUAAACCUAUUCACAUCUUUCCUUAAUCACAGAUCUUACAUAAACUCUGUUAUCAAUACUCGAUACUUCCAAAGGAGAGCUAAAACGAGAGAGAGUCUGUUUCAGAAAAGCACUGAAUGCACACAUACAAAUCACACAGAUGGGCUUACUGCUGACAAACAGACAAAAAUCAAAAAUUAAAUGUCCACAUUCCUUAUCAAGAAAAGGAAACAAACAAAUAAAAGAUCAGAAGAAGGGAUCAUUCAGUAUUUUUUCCCAAUAUUAUAUGAAUAGUCUAUUUGUAAGCCUGGAGAGUGAUGUGUUUAAACUGGAAGCAUAAAUGUAUAUUUCAAUACAAAAGCACAAGAACAUCUGUAUUUCUAACUGUUUAUGUCACAAUUUGCACAUAUUUUCUUAUGUCUUCCAACCAAAAUUUAUUCUACCUAUUUUUUUUAAUAAUAAGUUUCUAAGAAUAGGUAUAUUAAAUAAAAGAAAUUAUGUGUGGGAUGCAAAUUCUCAUUAUAAAAAUGUUUCUAUCCCUCUGGCUUUAGAGAUAACUUACCAAACAUAAAUUGCUUCAGUAAUAAGGUUUCAUGAAUACAUUACAUAUCCCUGCAUAAAUUUGUGGGGAGCACUUUUUGUCUGAAGCAUAGAAAACAUUCCACAAUAAAUACAAAUGUUCAUA